GACGAACGCUGGCGGCGUGCUUAACACAUGCAAGUCGAACGGUGAAGCGCCUUCCUUUUUGGUGGGUGUGGAUGAGUGGCGAACGGGUGAGUAACACGUGAGUAACCUGCCCCCUUCUUCUGGAUAACCGCAUGAAAGUGUGGCUAAUACGGGAUAUUCUGGGUCUGUCGCAUGAUGGGUCUGGGAAAGAUAUUGUUUCGGUGGGGGAUGGGCUCGCGGCCUAUCAGCUUGUUGGUGGGGUGAUGGCCUACCAAGGCGGUGACGGGUAGCUGGCCUGAGAGGGUGGACGGUCACACUGGGACUGAGACACGGCCCAGACUCCUACGGGAGGCAGCAGUGGGGAAUAUUGCACAAUGGGCGCAAGCCUGAUGCAGCGACGCCGCGUGAGGGAUGGAGGCCUUCGGGUUGUGAACCUCUUUCGCCAGUGAAGCAGGCCUGCCUCGUUUGUGGGUGGGUUGACGGUAGCUGGAGAAGAAGCGCCGGCUAACUACGUG
Molecule: ribosomal RNA, 494 nt
Filed under: uncultured bacterium
Lineage: Bacteria
Description: partial 16S ribosomal RNA
Rfam family: Bacterial small subunit ribosomal RNA
Source: RNAcentral